UGGAACCCAGAUCUUUAAAUCUCCUGUC
This 28-nucleotide non-coding RNA is filed under the name Mus musculus (house mouse). The record is from RNAcentral. Lineage: Eukaryota; Metazoa; Chordata; Mammalia; Rodentia; Muridae.